AUGUGCGGAGUGGAUGUUAGAGUCAUUUUCUGUGUGUGUGUGUGUGUGUGUGUGUGUGUGUGUGUGUGUGUGUGUGUGUGUGUGUGUGUGUGUGUGUGUGUGUGUGUGUGUGUGUGUGUGUGUGUGUGUGUGUGUGUGUGUGUGUGUGUGUGUGCAGCUCCAUCAUGGGCUUCAUCAGUAAGGAGAGGGAGAAGGCUCUGCUCAGUGAUAAGUGUCCCGGGACCUUCCUGCUCAGGUUCAGUGAGAGCAGCAGAGAGGGAGCCUUCACCUUUACCUGGAUGGAAUACGACCUCUGCACCGUACACGAAGAAGGAGCUGUCAGCCGUCUCUCUGCUCGACAUCAUCCGUACCUACAAAGUGAUGGCUGCCGAGAACAUCCCCGAGAACCCGCUCUGCACACACAGAGACUCAGGAGCCCAUGGAUGUGGAGAACAAUCCAGAGAGGAGCAGCUACAUGAAGACAGAGCUCAUUUCUGUCUCUGAAGUACAUCCGUCCAGACUGCAGGACAACAUGUUGCCCAUGUCUCCUGAUGACUACAGGGCUUUGUCACAGUUAGUCGGCCCCAGAGACAUUGAUGCUGUGACACUUUGGAGAACGACAGGGAAAGGAAGAGAGAAACUGGAGGUAAACAUCAUUAAGCAGUGAAUUUAUCUAAACUUUCUGCGACACUUCCGGUCGAAGCUUCCGGUAAUCACGCCCAGGUGUGUUCAGGUGUUCUCAGGUGUGUAUAUCAUUGUUUCGACCAGGUAAGCGGUGCGGACCGCGGGCAGCCUGGCUGUCGAACAAAGCGGCGGAAGAAGAAGGAGCCGGGGAAGGAAAGAUGAAGUCUAGAUACUCAGAACUCUGUUGACGUCUUCCAGGAGGAUCCCCCGUCGGUGGCCGUCUUCCUGCUCAGGUAGGAGACUCAAUGCUUUCUUGAUGUUGUUUUAUUAUGUUCCAGGUUUUAGGUCUUAUAGAUGUUUAGACUCAGUUAUUUUAAUCAUUUCAUCCUUUUUGGAGGAUCAUCAGGUGUUUAAUGAAAUACUACAUUUUUAUAAUCCUUAUUUAAUUAAACACCUGAUGUUCCUCCACUACAAAAAGGAUGAAAUGAUUAAAAUAACUGAGUCUAAACAUCUAUAAGACCUAAAACCUGGAACAUAAUAAAACAACAUUAAGAAAGCAUUGAGCUCCUACCCAAUGGGGACGCCUGUGACGCCUUAUUGUAUUGUGCUGAUGUAUAGAAAAAACACAGUUCAUGUCUGUUCAAUAUUUUAUUGUAAUAAAACUAC
This is a long non-coding RNA of Labrus mixtus (cuckoo wrasse), 1269 nucleotides long. RefSeq lists it as uncharacterized. The record is from RefSeq and is a predicted model, not a curated record. NCBI's taxonomy places the organism in Eukaryota, Metazoa, Chordata, Actinopteri, Labriformes, Labridae. The transcript is spliced from 7 exons.